RNAcentral lists this ribosomal RNA (492 nucleotides) under uncultured bacterium. Its description in RNAcentral is "partial 16S ribosomal RNA". It matches the Rfam family "Bacterial small subunit ribosomal RNA", at positions 29 to 507 of the family's 1533-position model. The record is from RNAcentral.
AGUGAACGCUGGCGGUAGGCCUAACACAUGCAAGUCGAACGGCAGCACAGUAAGAGCUUGCUCUUACGGGUGGCGAGUGGCGGACGGGUGAGGAAUACAUCGGAAUCUACUUUUUCGUGGGGGAUAACGUAGGGAAACUUACGCUAAUACCGCAUACGACCUACGGGUGAAAGCAGGGGAUCUUCUGACCUUGCGCGAUUGAAUGAGCCGAUGUCGGAUUAGCUAGUUGGCGGGGUAAAGGCCCACCAAGGCGACGAUCCGUAGCUGGUCUGAGAGGAUGAUCAGCCACACUGGAACUGAGACACGGUCCAGACUCCUACGGGAGGCAGCAGUGGGGAAUAUUAGACAAUGGGCGCAAGCCUGAUCCAGCCAUACCGCGUGGGUGAAGAAGGCCUUCGGGUUGUAAAGCCCUUUUGUUGGGAAAGAAAAGCAGCAGGUUAAUACCCCGCUGUUCUGACGGUACCCAAAGAAUAAGCACCGGCUAACUUCGUG